RNAcentral lists this ribosomal RNA (492 nucleotides) under uncultured bacterium. RNAcentral's name for it is "partial 16S ribosomal RNA". It matches the Rfam family "Bacterial small subunit ribosomal RNA", at positions 29 to 507 of the family's 1533-position model. The record is from RNAcentral.
AGUGAACGCUGGCGGUAGGCCUAACACAUGCAAGUCGAACGGCAGCACAGUAAGAGCUUGCUCUUACGGGUGGCGAGUGGCGGACGGGUGAGGAAUACAUCGGAAUCUACUUUUUCGUGGGGGAUAACGUAGGGAAACUUACGCUAAUACCGCAUACGACCUACGGGUGAAAGCAGGGGAUCUUCGGACCUUGCGCGAUUGAAUGAGCCGAUGUCGGAUUAGCUAGUUGGCGGGGUAAAGGCCCACCAAGGCGACGAUCCGUAGCUGGUCUGAGAGGAUGAACCGCCACACUGGAACUGAGACACGGUCCAGACUCCUACGGGAGGCAGCAGUGGGGAAUAUUGGAAAAUGGGCGCAAGCCUGAUCCAGCCAUACCGCGUGGGUGAAGAAGGCCUUCGGGUUGUAAAGCCCUUUUGUUGGGAAAGAAAAGCAGCAGGUUAAUACCCCGCUGUUCUGAAGGUACCCAAAGAAUAAGCACCGGCUAACUUCGUG